This 1348-nucleotide ribosomal RNA is filed under the name uncultured bacterium. RNAcentral describes it as "bacterial SSU rRNA". It matches the Rfam family "Bacterial small subunit ribosomal RNA", at positions 28 to 1363 of the family's 1533-position model. The record is from RNAcentral.
GAUGAACGCUAGCGGCAGGCUUAACACAUGCAAGUCGAGGGGCAUCAGGGAGAGGAAGCUUGCUUUCCUUUGCCGAGCGAACCGGCGCACGGAGUGAGUAACACGUAUGCAACCUGCCCUCUUCAGGGGGACAACCUUCCGAAAGGGAGGCUAAUCCCGCGUAUAUCGGUUUCGGGCAUCCGAGAUCGAGGAAAGAUUCAUCGGAAGAGGAUGGGCAUGCGGUGCAUUAGCUAGACGGCGGGGUAACGGCCCACCGUGGCGACGAUGCGUAGGGGUUCUGAGAGGAAGGUCCCCCACACUGGUACUGAGACACGGACCAGACUCCUACGGGAGGCAGCAGUGAGGAAUAUUGGUCAAUGGGAGAGAUCCUGAACCAGCCAAGCCGCGUGAGGGAAGACGGCCCUAUGGGUUGUAAACCUCUUUUGUCGGAGAACAAAACCCGGGACGAGUCCCGGACUGCGUGUAUCCGAAGAAAAAGCAUCGGCUAACUCCGUGCCAGCAGCCGCGGUAAUACGGAGGAUGCGAGCGUUAUCCGGAUUUAUUGGGUUUAAAGGGCACGUAGGCGGUCCGUUAAGUCAGCGGUAAAAUUGCGGGGCUCAACCCCGUCGAGCCGUUGAAACUGGCAGACUUGAGUUGGCGAGAAGUACGCGGAAUGCGCGGUGUAGCGGUGAAAUGCAUAGAUAUCGCGCAGAACUCCGAUUGCGAAGGCAGCGUACCGGCGCCAGACUGACGCUGAGGCACGAAAGCGUGGGGAUCGAACAGGAUUAGAUACCCUGGUAGUCCACGCAGUAAACGAUGAAUGCUGGUUGUCCGGGUCGAAUGAGACCUGGGCGGCGAAGCGAAAGCGAUAAGCAUUCCACCUGGGGAGUACGCCGGCAACGGUGAAACUCAAAGGAAUUGACGGGGGCCCGCACAAGCGGAGGAACAUGUGGUUUAAUUCGAUGAUACGCGAGGAACCUUACCCGGGCUCAAACGGGAGUGGAAUGGACCAGAGACGGUUCAGCCUACGGGCCGCUUCCGAGGUGCUGCAUGGUUGUCGUCAGCUCGUGCCGUGAGGUGUCGGCUUAAGUGCCAUAACGAGCGCAACCCCCGCCGGCAGUUGCUAACGGGCAAUGCCGAGGACUCUGCCGGGACUGCCGCCGCAAGGCGUGAGGAAGGCGGGGAUGAUGUCAAAUCAGCACGGCCCUUACGUCCGGGGCGACACACGUGUUACAAUGGGCGGUACAGCGGGAAGCCAGGCGGCGACGCCGAGCGGAACCCGAAAGCCGUUCUCAGUUCGGAUCGGAGUCUGCAACCCGACUCCGUGAAGCUGGAUUCGCUAGUAAUCGCGCAUCAGCCAUGGCGCGGU